CUAGUCGCGUGGCUCGCCAAUACGAGCCACGGCAUACAGCUCAGUAACACGUGGCUAACCUGCCCUUGGGACGAGAAUACCCCCGGGAAACUGGGGCUAAUUUUCGAUAGGCGAAGAACUCUGGAAUGAGUCUUCACUUAAAGGGGCCUACGUUAUGCUCGUAGGUUUGCCCAAGGAUGGGGCCGCGACCGAUCAGGUUGUUGGUGAGGUAAUGGCUCACCAAGCCUUUUACCGGUGCGGGCCGUGGGAGCGGGAGCCCGGAGAUGGGCACUGAGACAAGGGCCCAGGCCCUACGGGGCGCAGCAGUCGCGAAAACUUUGCAAUAAGCGAAAGCUUGACAGGGCUAUCCCGAGUGCCAUCCGCUGAGGAAGGCUUUUACCCAGUCUAGAACGCUGGGGGAAUAAGGAGAGGGCAAGUCUGGUGUCAGCCGCCGCGGUAAUACCAGCUCUCCGAGUGGUGUGGAUGUUUAUUGGGCCUAAAGCAUCCGUAGCUGGCUAAGUUAGUCCCCUGUUAAAUCCACCGAAUUAAUCGUUGGAUUGCGGGGGAUACUGCUUGGCUAGGGGACGAGAGAGGCAGACGGUAUUUUCGGGGUAGGGGUGAAAUCCUAUAAUCCCGGGAAGACCACCAGUGGCGAAGGCUGUCUGCUAGAACGCGCCCGACGGUGAGGGAUGAAAGCUGGGGGAGCGAACCGGAUUAGAUACCCGGGUAGUCCCAGCUGUAAACGAUGCAGGCUAGGUGUUUGGACGGCCACGUGCCGUUCUAGUGCCGCAGGGAAGCUGUUAAGCCUGCCGCCUGGGGAGUACGAUCGCAAGAUUGAAACUUAAAGGAAUUGGCGGGGGAGCACCACAAGGGGUGAAGCUUGCGGUUUAAUUGGAUUCAACGCCGGG
RNAcentral lists this ribosomal RNA (887 nucleotides) under uncultured archaeon. Its description in RNAcentral is "bacterial SSU rRNA". It matches the Rfam family "Archaeal small subunit ribosomal RNA", at positions 54 to 922 of the family's 1478-position model. The record is from RNAcentral.